CCAGACUCCUACGGGAGGCAGCAGUGGGGAAUAUUGGGCAAUGGGCGAAAGCCUGACCCAGCAACGCCGCGUGAAGGAAGAAGGCUUUCGGGUUGUAAACUUCUUUUGACAGGGAGGAGCAGAAGACGGUACCUGUCGAAUAAGCCACGGCUAACUACGUGCCAGCAGCCGCGGUAAUACGUAGGGAGCAAGCGUUGUCCGGAAUUACUGGGUGUAAAGGGAGCGUAGGCGGGAUAGUAAGUUGAUUGUUAAAACUAUCGGCUCAACUGGUAGAUGCGAUCAAAACUGCAAUUCUUGAGUGAAGUAGAGGCAGGCGGAAUUCCUGGUGUAGCGGUGAAAUGUGUAGAUAUCAGGAGGAACACCGGUGGCGAAGGCGGCCUGCUGGACUGCGACUGACGUUGAGGCCCGAAAGCGUGGGGAGCAAACAGGAUUAGAUACCCCGGUAAC
RNAcentral lists this ribosomal RNA (447 nucleotides) under uncultured bacterium. RNAcentral describes it as "bacterial SSU rRNA". It matches the Rfam family "Bacterial small subunit ribosomal RNA", at positions 331 to 794 of the family's 1533-position model. The record is from RNAcentral.